AGUGAACGCUGGCGGUAGGCCUAACACAUGCAAGUCGAACGGCAGCACAGGAGAGCUUGCUCUCUGGGUGGCGAGUGGCGGACGGGUGAGGAAUACAUCGGAAUCUACUCUGUCGUGGGGGAUAACGUAGGGAAACUUACGCUAAUACCGCAUACGACCUACGGGUGAAAGCAGGGGACCUUCGGGCCUUGCGCGAUUGAAUGAGCCGAUGUCGGAUUAGCUAGUUGGCGGGGUAAAGGCCCACCAAGGCGACGAUACGUAGCUGGUCUGAGAGGAUGAUGAGCCACACUGGAACGGAGACACGGUCCAGACUCCUACGGGAGGCAGCAGUGGGGAAUAGUGGACAAUGGGCGCAAGCCUGAUCCAGCCAUACCGCGUGGGUGAAGAAGGCCUUCGGGUUGUAAAGCCCUUUUGUUGGGAAAGAAAUCCAGCUGGCUAAUACCCGGUUGGGAUGACGGUACCCAAAGAAUAAGCACCGGCUAACUUCGUGCCAGCAGCCGCAGUAA
Molecule: ribosomal RNA, 506 nt
Filed under: uncultured bacterium
Lineage: Bacteria
Description: partial 16S ribosomal RNA
Rfam family: Bacterial small subunit ribosomal RNA
Source: RNAcentral